AGGAGGUGUACUGGGACAACAUAUUUUAUUCAGAGCUUCACUAUUCUGCUCCAAGGACAGGGCAUGGCUGCCCGCUUCCUGAUCUUGAGGCUGCAUAUGUGGCUGGGAAGGCUCCUGGCGAUCAGUGGUGCUGUGGGCAGUGAUGGAGGAGGCGGACCACCUCCAGGAUAGGUCCAGUACUCUUCCGCCCUCCUGGACAGCUCGUGCCUUCCCUUACAGACUACGGGAUGGGUGUGCCCUCUGACCUUUAUUCUGAUUAGCUCCUGUGCAGUAUAUAAGCUGUGUGUACGUCCUCAUUAAAUGAGAUCCUGCUCUGA
Molecule: non-coding RNA, 317 nt
Organism: Ictidomys tridecemlineatus (thirteen-lined ground squirrel)
Lineage: Eukaryota; Metazoa; Chordata; Mammalia; Rodentia; Sciuridae
Source: RefSeq, a predicted model, not a curated record